UGGUGGAGUGAUUUGUCUGGUUAAUUCCGUUAACGAACGAGACCUCGACCUGCUAAAUAGUUCGGCGUACCUUCGGGUACGUACGCGACUUCUUAGAGGGACUGUCGGUUUUAGCCGAAGGAAGUUCGAGGCAAUAACA
This 139-nucleotide ribosomal RNA is filed under the name uncultured eukaryote. Its description in RNAcentral is "partial 18S ribosomal RNA". It matches the Rfam family "Eukaryotic small subunit ribosomal RNA", at positions 1299 to 1458 of the family's 1831-position model. The record is from RNAcentral.